UGUACCUCCCUCCUCCCCUCCGUCCCUCUCCCCCAAUCACUCCUUCUCCUUCUUCUCCCUCUUCCCUACUAAAUCUGGGACUGCCUUAGCCAAACCAGUACAUAUAGGCAUACUGUUUAAAGAUAAAAUGUUAUAUAUGAAACAGGAUUAUCAGGGAAUGGUGGUACAGGUAUUGGCUCGCUCUCUCCAAUCCAUUAAAAAGUUGGUUGAUAAAUGUGAACAGUUGCAGGAGAGUUUCUUUCAGGUAAAAAGCAGAUAACAUGUAGAAAAUGGUUGCAAGAAACGUGGUACUUGUGUUGCAAAGAAGGCUCUCUCUAAGGCAAGAAGGUUUCUUUUCUACCCCCUCUUCAGUAAUUUUAAAGGUGCAAUAACAGGGCAUACUGCUAUGGGUGUUCUUAUAUGUUUGCUUGAAUCAGAGACUAGCAGUCAUUAUUGGCUGGUCACCAUGAAUAACUUUACAAAAUGGCUUUAAGCUUACUCAAGAAGAUAAAAGAAGUCUGGGAUGGAAAGAGGCCCUAUAGAGUAAAUUCUUUACCUGAUUUUUGAGGGCCUGAGUGAGUUGCAUACAGAACAAGGGAGAAAAGUUUGGAUUAAAAGCAUGUAAUCCAAUUUAUGAGAUUCUUGGGAUUCACAAAACACAUACCAUUCCCACUGACCCACAAUCUGACUGAAUGGUGAACAGGUUCAAUAGGACUCUGGAGAACCAGCUGGCUAUCCUUUGUAGAACAGCUGCAGAGCCUGGAGCCAAAAAAUCCCUUCCUUUCCAUGUUUUAUAGGACAAUGGUAAGCACUCUUCAAUUUGGGCAUGAGCUAAGGGUCUUGACAUACGUCUUGAAUGGAGUUCCUGAAGAAAAACAAAGGGAUACGACCUAGGUAGAAAUCCUGAAAUCCAGAUGGACAAAGCUCAGCCCUUUUCUGGAGGAAAUUUGAGGAUAACCUCUGCUAAAAUGAGAAGGCUGUAAGAUGUGAGGUCAUAUGUAGAAACUUCACUGUCCUAGUAGGAAGAAUGGCAGGAGCCAUCAGUUGGAUAAAUCUUGGGGGAGAUCCUAUGCAGUACCAAAGCCAGCCAGUGAAGUGGUAUGUACAGAACAGCUGUGUUCCAAGACUAAACCCAGAGUUGUUGGGUGUUGUAGAGGUAGAACUUAAUACAGUAUCACAUAUUUGGCCUCCUCUUCACACCAAGCCAACAAACUUCCUCCUGACACCCAGCUCUUCAGAGCUCACCACCUAUUUUUUCUCAGAACACAGAAUUUCCUCUUUAUAUAUCUAGCAAUGGAGUGAUCUUGGUGCAUCUGCAGAAGGCAAGGGGAAUAUUGAGAGAGGAACAUCUUCAGUCAUCAAUUCUAAACCAACUGAAUGCAAUCUGCCCUGCAAAGAAAAGUGUGUUCAAACAGGUUACACAUGGGUACUAGCUGAUUGAAGGUUUACCUCAUUCCUUGGAGUAUCCUUAACUCCACAUUAUGUGAAUGUGGGACUGCUGCUAACAUAAUUGAACUGUCCCCUCCUUGUACUCCAGGUAGUUGGAAUCAGCUAAACACCCCAUGGACCAAUGCACACAUGCAAGAAGAACAAUUACCACCCCCAGCUAUAAAGGACUAUUUAAGGAGACCUCAGAGACAAGAAUUUUGUGUGACUGUCACCAAAACUUCAUUACAUCUGUGGCAGCUAAGACUGAAAUAACUGUCCCAGGACUGGUUUCCCCCUUUAAAACCAAAUGGAUGAUGUCCACCUCAGUCAGCAUUUCCUUCACAAACCAGGGAUGCUUCUAAAGGUUCUGGUGAAACAUGACCCUCCUGACUGAAACUUGAGCUAGGAGCAAGAGACUAAAGACAUUUGGAUGCCAGGGAAAUUGAAACUGGUGAAUUGAAACUGUCCUGCUGGAAGAGCCUUGUAAUGAUGUAAAGAGUUCAGAUUGUGUCAGCUGUUGCUGUUGUGUGUUUGUCAAAUUACAAGUCUAUCUGAAUGGCUUAUUUGAGAUGUUACUGUUUGAGAUGCCAUAAGGACAAUGACUAAAGCUGAAGCUGAGGAGGGCAUCUAUGAAUCGGACUAAACGUUGUUGAAGGGAGUAGGUUUAACCACUCUCCUUCAUUUAAGUUGAAUGUAUUUCCUAGUCGAAACAAAAACAAAUGCAAGGCUGCUCAGGCAUUCAAACACUCUUGAGGUUUUAGCUAGGUGUCUGGGAAGGAUUGUGUGUGGGCAUGGAAGGGACCAAGGAAGAAGAAAGCUUCCACAAAGCCUAAAACAGCACUUGUGUGUGGCCUGGGGAAAAGCCUCUAAAGUUGACUCUUGGGGCAGGUGCUACAUAAAGAGUUGCCGGUAGGUCUCCUUGCAUUGGAAUAGUGUGCUUGCUUCGGUCCGUGCUAUGUGCCACCGUUUGUAAGUUCCAGAAACCUUCAGAAAAUAAUACUGUUCCACAGGAAGAAUUUCUUGCCAAUGAGGACUUCACUUGCAGCAGCUCUACCUGCAGCACGAGAAAUGCCAUGUACUGACAGAACCUGUUUAGAAGCAGCAUCGCAUGUGCUUGAACCUCUAAACGAAAGCAGCAGGAGCUCAAGGCAAGUACUGUAAAUUAUGUCACGGGGAUGGAUUUUCCAUGUUACUGCCUAUUAUGCCCAGGCUGUCCUCCAGCUUGUUUCCUUUUGUUGUUUCAAGAUAAUCUAGUGUGGGUAACAGCAGUAGAUAAGAACACUUGGCAUGACUUACUCCACUGAAAUGAAUGGUGAUAUAGGUGUAAAAAUAUUUGUGAGUCUGGCUCUCUUG
This is a long non-coding RNA of Gavialis gangeticus (Gharial), 2760 nucleotides long. RefSeq lists it as uncharacterized. The record is from RefSeq and is a predicted model, not a curated record. The transcript has 3 exons. NCBI's taxonomy places the organism in Eukaryota, Metazoa, Chordata, Crocodylia, Gavialidae.